Molecule: ribosomal RNA, 293 nt
Filed under: uncultured bacterium
Lineage: Bacteria
Description: partial 16S ribosomal RNA
Rfam family: Bacterial small subunit ribosomal RNA
Source: RNAcentral
GGGCGCAGCCUGAUCCAGCCAUGCCGCGUGAGUGAAGAAGGCCUUCGGGUUGUAAAGCUCUUUCGGUGGGGAAGAAAUUGCUUGGGAUAAUACCUGGGGUUCAUGACGGUACCCGAAUAAUAAGCACCGGCUAACUACGUGCCAGCAGCCGCGGUAAUACGUAGGGUGCGAGCGUUAAUCGGAAUUACUGGGCGUAAAGCGUGCGCAGGCGGUUGUGUAAGUCAGAUGUGAAAUCCCCGGGCUCAACCUGGGAACUGCAUUUGAGACUGCACGGCUGGAGUUUGGCAGAGGGA